This 75-nucleotide non-coding RNA is filed under the name Desulfoluna spongiiphila. The record is from RNAcentral. Lineage: Bacteria; Pseudomonadati; Thermodesulfobacteriota; Desulfobacteria; Desulfobacterales; Desulfolunaceae.
AGGAGCCGGAUGAGGGAAAACUUCACGUCCGGAUCUGUGUGGGGGGUAUUGGGCAACCGGUAUUCCUACCACGAC